CUCUGUUCAUUCAUUUCAUAGAAAUUCACGUUUAACUCUCUGCGUGCUCCUUGAUCCAUUUGAGUUCACUAAUGGAAUCGAAGAACGGAAUUUUAGAAUUAGGUCGAUUCGUUUUUCCUUUCACUUCUAUUAUUGAUUCGAUUGUGCAAUUGCAAAAUGCAAAAACUCUUUGGUUUUUCUCGUGUUUUGACUUUUUCGAUACUGUUGCUAAUUACUUUUUUCGAAAUUGCAAGGUUAUGCUGUGAGGGAGUUUUCCAAACAGGGCAUUAAGCCAGGGGAGUUGGCUAUCAUUUCCAAAGAAGUGGUUGGGAGUGUGAUAAAGAGUCCAGAAAUAUCUGGUCUUGUUCCUACUCUACUUAAGGGACUUUGUCAUCCUAAAGAGCAUACAAAAUAUUCCCUUAAUAUUCUUCUUCAAUUGUGGUAUCACUUGCUAAACAAUGGGCAUUUGAAGAACCUUCUGUGGAGACAAUAACUGGUGAAAAUGUUUUGACAUAGCCACAUGUGAAAUGGCCUCUAUCAAGUUCCUCAACUUGACUUGCACGGGAAUAUGCUUGAAGAUCCCAAUGGCCGAGGGGCGUACGUUGUGUGCUCUUCCGAACGUUAAAUACGUGCUCUUUCGAACGUUAAAUACGUGUUCAUCAUUUAUAUAAUAAUUUGGGCCCAGGUAGUGAUGAGCAUCUUGAAAGGAAGAUUCUAGAUCCUGAGCGCUUGAGUAGGGUGGAAUCAAUUUUUGGCAAUCUUUCAGAAACCAUCAAAAUAUAUGGUCCCUGGUCUUCUGUAUGGGUAGGAGAAGCUGGAGGGGCAUACAAUAGUGGUGGCAAUCAUGUUUCUAACAGAUUUCUAAACAGCUUUUGGUACUUAGAUCAACUUGGAAUAGCAUCCUGCUACAACACUAAAGUCUAUUGCAGGCAGACUUUAAUUGGAGGGAAUUAUGGCCUUCUCAAUGCCACCACCUUUGCUCCCAAUCCUGACUACUACAGUGCAGUUUUGUGGCAUCGGUUAAUGGGAAAGAAGGUUCUUGCGGUCUCAAGUGAUGUUCAUAUUAAAGACUUUUACCUACAGUUAGAAAAUGUAAGUAGAAGUUAAUAACUUUUACCUACAAUUGAAGGUAAUAGAUACAUAUUAAAGACUUUUACCUACAGUUAAAAAAUGUAAGUAGAAGUUAAUGACUUUUACCUACACACUAUACAUAGUAGGUAAAACCUAUAGUGACAGACAAUUAACCGUCAUUAUACGCUCCCUCAAAGUUGACAGAAGAAACGUCCGUAGGACAAAGUCUAUCAUACAUUUACCUACAGAUUUUUUAUUUAUAGUGACAGUUUUUGUCUGUAGGUAUAAGUCAUUUUUCUUGUAGUGACCAUUAGAAACGAUGACACGGUGGGACAAGCACAAGUAGUAGUCUUUUAUUUCUUGCCUUGCUAAACAAAAUAUCAUCUCGUGCAGUUUAUGCUCCAUACUUGUUUAGGUACUCGUUAAGUG
This is an RNA transcript of Glycine soja, 1479 nucleotides long. It is a transcript of the gene named heparanase-like protein 1, with no coding region annotated. The record is from RefSeq and is a predicted model, not a curated record. The transcript has 9 exons. NCBI's taxonomy places the organism in Eukaryota, Viridiplantae, Streptophyta, Magnoliopsida, Fabales, Fabaceae.